This 406-nucleotide ribosomal RNA is filed under the name uncultured bacterium. Its description in RNAcentral is "partial 16S ribosomal RNA". It matches the Rfam family "Bacterial small subunit ribosomal RNA", at positions 28 to 526 of the family's 1533-position model. The record is from RNAcentral.
GACGAACGCUGGCGGCAGGCUUAACACAUGCAAGUCGAGCGAGCGGCGGACGGGUGAGUAAUGUCUGGGAAACUGCCUGAUGGAGGGGGAUAACUACUGGAAACGGUAGCUAAUACCGCAUACCAUCAGAUGUGCCCAGAUGGGAUUAGCUAGUAGGUGGGGUAAUGGCUCACCUAGGCGACGAUCCCUAGCUGGUCUGAGAGGACGACCAGCCACACUGGGACUGAGACACGGCCCAGACUCCUACGGGAGGCAGCAGUGGGGAAUUUUGGACAAUGGGGGAAACCCUGAUCCAGCCAUCCCGCGUGUGCGAUGAAGGCCUUCGGGUUGUAAAGCACUUUCAGCGAGGAGGCGUUACUCGCAGAAGAAGCACCGGCUAACUCCGUGCCAGCAGCCGCGGUAAUUC